UGCUUGGUGGAUCAGUGGCGAACGGGUGAGUAACACGUGAGCAACCUGCCCUGGACUCUGGGAUAAGCGCUGGAAACGGCGUCUAAUACUGGAUAUGAGACGUGAUCGCAUGGUCGUGUUUGGAAAGAUUUUUCGGUCUGGGAUGGGCUCGCGGCCUAUCAGCUUGUUGGUGAGGUAAUGGCUCACCAAGGCGUCGACGGGUAGCCGGCCUGAGAGGGUGACCGGCCACACUGGGACUGAGACACGGCCCAGACUCCUACGGGAGGCAGCAGUGGGGAAUAUUGCACAAUGGGCGGAAGCCUGAUGCAGCAACGCCGCGUGAGGGAUGACGGCCUUCGGGUUGUAAACCUCUUUUAGCAGGGAAGAAGCGAAAGUGACGGUACCUGCAGAAAAAGCGCCGGCUAACUACGUGCCAGCAGCCGCGGUAAUACGUAGGGCGCAAGCGUUAUCCGGAAUUAUUGGGCGUAAAGAGCUCGUAGGCGGUUUGUCGCGUCUGCUGUGAAAUCCCGAGGCUCAACCUCGGGCCUGCAGUGGGUACGGGCAGACUAGAGUGCGGUAGGGGAGAUUGGAAUUCCUGGUGUAGCGGUGGAAUGCGCAGAUAUCAGGAGGAACACCGAUGGCGAAGGCAGAUCUCUGGGCCGUAACUGACGCUGAGGAGCGAAAGGGUGGGGAGCAAACAGGCUUAGAUACCCUGGUAGUCCACCCCGUAAACGUUGGGAACUAGUUGUGGGGACCAUUCCACGGUUUCCGUGACGCAGCUAACGCAUUAAGUUCCCCGCCUGGGGAGUACGGCCGCAAGGCUAAAACUCAAAGGAAUUGACGGGGACCCGCACAAGCGGCGGAGCAUGCGGAUUAAUUCGAUGCAACGCGAAGAACCUUACCAAGGCUUGACAUAUACGAGAACGGGCCAGAAAUGGUCAACUCUUUGGACACUCGUAAACAGGUGGUGCAUGGUUGUCGUCAGCUCGUGUCGUGAGAUGUUGGGUUAAGUCCCGCAACGAGCGCAACCCUCGUUCUAUGUUGCCAGCACGUAAUGGUGGGAACUCAUGGGAUACUGCCGGGGUCAACUCGGAGGAAGGUGGGGAUGACGUCAAAUCAUCAUGCCCCUUAUGUCUUGGGCUUCACGCAUGCUACAAUGGCCGGUACAAAGGGCUGCAAUACCGUGAGGUGGAGCGAAUCCCAAAAAGCCGGUCCCAGUUCGGAUUGAGGU
RNAcentral lists this ribosomal RNA (1210 nucleotides) under Microbacterium testaceum. Its description in RNAcentral is "bacterial SSU rRNA". It matches the Rfam family "Bacterial small subunit ribosomal RNA", at positions 81 to 1304 of the family's 1533-position model. Lineage: Bacteria; Bacillati; Actinomycetota; Actinomycetes; Micrococcales; Microbacteriaceae. The record is from RNAcentral.